UGCUAUUACUGGAGUGAGCCAGCUAAGCCAAACAGACUGCUGAUGGUGAGGAGACUUAUGUUACAAAAGUCUUUAGGGUUGCUUCUCAACUAGCUCUAAACGGAGUCCUUGGUGGCUGACAUGAGGAAUCACCAUGAGAACAGCUGGGACUCAUUGACCAAUGGCAGCUGGAUGACCCACAGUCGCCAUCCACUGAAUCCUUCCAGAAACACCUGCACGUGGAGGCAGGUGUUGCUGUCUCCCCAUUUUGCAGGUGAGAAAAUGCAGCCCAGGGAGAUGGCGGGAUGUGGGGAGCCGGGAAUCCCCCUCAACUCGUCUCCAAGGCUCCUGGCACAGCUCCGGGCCAGUGCAAGAGAGAAAACUCCUGAGCGGCAUAUCCCAGCUCGUCCUGUGGGGUAGGAAGGAAAGGCUCCAGACACAAUUAGAAGUGCUUCAGAGCGAGUGGAACGUUCUCAGGAAAUGUAUUAUCAUUAGAGCUGGCCGCUUGCCUCGCUGGAUGGGGAGAGGGUGUGCAUGUGCGUCUAUGGUGCAUGCGCUCACCGUGCAACGUCCUAUAUGAAGUCCUUCUCCUCACAAAAAAGUAAAAAAUUGGGCUCGCUUUCUUGCGUGAACUUUUUUUCCUGCCGUGUUUCUAAGAGAAUCAGAGAGGUUGCCGAACCAAAGGGCAGGAGCUAGGUGUAGCUGGUUAAAGAAGGUCUCUGAUUGCCUUGUAGAUUCAGAAACUUCCCUUAAGCACCUCGUGCCUCAGUUUCCCCAUCUCCAAGUGGUCUGAGAAUAGAGAGGAGGGAAUUGCUUGGAG
This 799-nucleotide long non-coding RNA is filed under the name Cercocebus atys (sooty mangabey). RNAcentral describes it as "lncRNA (ENSCATG00000045704.1)". Lineage: Eukaryota; Metazoa; Chordata; Mammalia; Primates; Cercopithecidae. The record is from RNAcentral.